GCCCGCACAAGCGGAGGAACAUGUGGUUUAAUUCGAUGAUACGCGAGGAACCUUACCCGGGUUUAAAUUGCAACCGGAUAUGGCGGAAACGCCAUAGCUAGCAAUAGCGGUUGUGAAGGUGCUGCAUGGUUGUCGUCAGCUCGUGCCGUGAGGUGUCGGCUUAAGUGCCAUAACGAGCGCAACCCUUGCCGAUAGUUACUAACAGGUCAUGCUGAGGACUCUGUCGGGACUGCCAUCGUAAGAUGUGAGGAAGGUGGGGAUGACGUCAAAUCAGCACGGCCCUUACGUCCGGGGCUACACACGUGUUACAAUGGGGGGUACAGAGGGCUGCUACCACGCAAGUGGAUGCCAAUCCCAAAAACCUCUCUCAGUUCGGAUUGAAGUCUGCAACCCGACUUCAUGAAGCUGGAUUCGCUAGUAAUCGCGCAUCAGCCACGGCGCGGUGAAUACGUUCCCGGGCCUUGUACACACCGCCCGUCAAGCCAUGGGAGCCGGGGGUACCUGAAGUGCGUAACCGCAAGGAGCGCCCUAGGGUAAAACUGGUGACUGGGGCUAAGUCGUAACAAGGUAGCCGU
RNAcentral lists this ribosomal RNA (575 nucleotides) under uncultured bacterium. RNAcentral's name for it is "bacterial SSU rRNA". It matches the Rfam family "Bacterial small subunit ribosomal RNA", at positions 919 to 1503 of the family's 1533-position model. The record is from RNAcentral.